Molecule: long non-coding RNA, 391 nt
Organism: Oncorhynchus tshawytscha (Chinook salmon)
Lineage: Eukaryota; Metazoa; Chordata; Actinopteri; Salmoniformes; Salmonidae
Source: Ensembl
AGGCCCAGCAGUAGACGCGAGGCCCAGCAGUAGACGCGAGGCCCAGCAGUAGACGCGAGGCCCAGCAGUAGACGCGAGGCCCAGCAGUAGACGCGAGGCCCAGCAGUAGACGCGAGGCCCAGCAGUAGACGCGAGGCCCAACAGUCAUUAUGAACAGGGAUUAUGACUGUUUGAUAUAAAUGACACUAUAGUGGUCUGGACGUUAACAUUUGCUAAAGUCGCAAUUGUAAAUGAGAAUGUGUUCUCAACUUGCCUACCUGGUUAAAUAAAGACCAUUCACGUGGCCAUCGUGUGUGCCGGGUACAACGCCAGUCGUGAUGUGGUGACACUCGUCAAGUCAGUCCUUUUUCACAGGUAGGUACACACACACACACACACAGCUGGGCCUGUC